CUUCAAAAAUGAUAUUGAAGUUUCUAAUAUCAUUUUUUUCUAAACUGAAUAGUUUGCGCGAGAGACACUUCCAAAGUGGUAAAAUGUGUGUCGCCCCCCCCUGUAACUUCUAAAAUAAGAGAAUGAUAAAACUAAAAAAAAUAUAUGAUGUACAUUACCAUGCAAACUUCCACCGAAAAUUGGUUUGAACGAGAUCUAGUAAGUAGUUUUUUUUAAUACAACUGAAACUCAAAAAAAUUUUUUUCAUCGAACCCAUACGUGUGGGGUAUCUAUGGAUAGGUCUUCAAAAAUGAUAUUGAGGUUCCUAAUAUAAUUUUUUUCUAAACUGAAUAGUUUGCGCGAGAGACACUUCCAAAGUG
This is a long non-coding RNA of Cydia amplana, 359 nucleotides long. RefSeq lists it as uncharacterized. Lineage: Eukaryota; Metazoa; Arthropoda; Insecta; Lepidoptera; Tortricidae. The transcript has 2 exons. The record is from RefSeq and is a predicted model, not a curated record.